RNAcentral lists this ribosomal RNA (497 nucleotides) under uncultured bacterium. RNAcentral's name for it is "partial 16S ribosomal RNA". It matches the Rfam family "Bacterial small subunit ribosomal RNA", at positions 28 to 507 of the family's 1533-position model. The record is from RNAcentral.
GAUGAACGCUGGCGGCGUGCCUAAUACAUGCAAGUCGAGCGAACGGACGAGAAGCUUGCUUCUCUGAUGUUAGCGGCGGAUGGGUGAGUAACACGUGGAUAACCUACCUAUAAGACUGGGAUAAAUUCGGGAAACCGGAGCUAAAACCGGAUAAUAUUUUGAACCGCAUGGUUCAAAAGUGAAAGACGGUCUUGCUGUCACUUAUAGAUGGAUCCGCGCUGCAUUAGCUAGUUGGUAAGGUAACGGCUUACCAAGGCAACGAUGCAUAGCCGACCUGAGAGGGUGAUCGGCCACACUGGAACUGAGGCACGGUCCAGACUCCUACGGGAGGCAGCAGUAGGGAAUCUUCCGCAGUGGGCGAAAGCCUGACGGAGCAGCGCCGCGUGAGUGAUGAAGGUCUUCGGAUCGUAAAACUCUGUUAUUGGGGAAGAACAUAUGUGUAAGUAACUGUGCACAUCUUGACGGUACCUAAUCAGAAAGCCACGGCUAACUACGUG